UCGUGACAAACCUUCUCCGGAUCCGUCCGAGACACCCCGCUCUGUGUCCUCUGUACCUGCAUCUCAUUCUCUUGCCAAUAACAGGGAUGUCAGCCUUGGAGAGUGCUCGCAGUAUAUCCUGUGCUUCCUGGUUGUUGAAGAAAGAUCUUUGUCUAAUCUGAGUGAGUUACGGGUAUCGGGGCCUGGUCGGGUGUCUGCAGUAUAUGCCUCUUGUCCGGCACCUCGUCCAAUUUGAUGGCCUCUGAGGAGGUGGCAUGAGGUGGCAGCCAUUGCGGGGAGAGGGUGAGAAAAACUCUGGUUUCCCCUCUGAGUGAUGAGGGAUGGAUAGAGCUGAAAGGUGUGACUGUUAAAGAUGGAAUCUGCAGUUUGGGCGAAACAGCGCCACUGGCCGCCCCUCUACUGCUGUUAUUGUUGCACAGCUGAGGAACGUCACGCAGCACGGUAUAACAAAUUGCAGUACAUAUUGUGCCGUUCUAUCACACGUGCAAUGAUGUCAGAGGAAAAAAAAACAUCUAAUGGAAAGCCUUCCCAGAAGAGUGGAGGCUGUUAUAGCAGCAAAGGGGGACAAACUCCAUACUAAUGCCCAUGAUUUUGGCAGGAGAUGUUAUGUGUCCACAUACUUUUGAUCAUAUAGUGUAUGUAAAACUGUGACAGCUGUCUUCAGGACUUAAAGUGAAUUUCUUUGCCACAUGUUUAGUAGCUUUACUUUAGUGCCUUAUUACAAACAGGAUUGCAUGUUUUGAAAUAGGUUUAAUUCUGUACAGGCUUCCUUCUUUUCACUAUCAUUUUGUAACUGUUAAAGUCACCAUUGGCCUUCCUCUCCGGCAACUGAGUUAGGAAGGGAAGGGAAGUCUGCUUUUUAAAAUUGUAUCUACCAAUAGGUGCCCUUCUUUGCAGUUGAAUCUGUGUUUGAAAUUCAUUGCUUGACUGAGUGUCCUUACAGAUAAUUGUACGUGUGUGUGGGGUACAGAGAUGAAGAAGUAAUUCAAAAUCAUGUUCAAUUUAAGGCUGUAACGUUACAAAAUGUGGCAAAGGUCAAGGGGUUGAGUACUUUCCACAUUUAGUUAGGUUACAGCCUUAUUCUAAAAUGCAUUAAAUACAUUUUUUCCAUCAAUCUACACACACUACCCCAUAAUGACAAAGCAAAAACAGGUUUUUAGAAAUAUUUGCUAAAUAAAUAAAAAACGGAAAUAUCUCAGUUAUAUAAGUAUACAGACCCCUUUAUUCUGUCACCUUGAUUUUUUCCAAAUGUUGUUACAAUACAGACUUAUUCUAAAAUGGAUUUUU
Molecule: long non-coding RNA, 1287 nt
Organism: Oncorhynchus keta (chum salmon)
Lineage: Eukaryota; Metazoa; Chordata; Actinopteri; Salmoniformes; Salmonidae
Exons: 3
Source: RefSeq, a predicted model, not a curated record